This 652-nucleotide ribosomal RNA is filed under the name uncultured bacterium. Its description in RNAcentral is "bacterial SSU rRNA". It matches the Rfam family "Bacterial small subunit ribosomal RNA", at positions 48 to 702 of the family's 1533-position model. The record is from RNAcentral.
CUUACACAUGCAGUCGAGGGGUAUAGUUCUUCGGAAUUAGAGACCGGCGCACGGGUGCGUAACGCGUAUGCAAUCUACCUUUUACAGAGGGAUAGCCCAGAGAAAUUUGGAUUAAUACCUCAUAGUAUUAUAGUAUGGCAUCAUAUUAUAAUUAAAGUUACAACGGUAAAAGAUGAGCAUGCGUCCCAUUAGCUUGUUGGUAAGGUAACGGCUUACCAAGGCUACGAUGGGUAGGGGUCCUGAGAGGGAGAUCCCCCACACUGGUACUGAGACACGGACCAGACUCCUACGGGAGGCAGCAGUGAGGAAUAUUGGUCAAUGGACGCAAGUCUGAACCAGCCAUGCCGCGUGCAGGAUGACGGUCCUAUGGAUUGUAAACUGCUUUUGCACAGGAAGGAACAACUCUACGUGUAGAGUCUUGACGGUACUGUGAGAAUAAGGAUCGGCUAACUCCGUGCCAGCAGCCGCGGUAAUACGGAGGAUCCAAGCGUUAUCCGGAAUCAUUGGGUUUAAAGGGUCCGUAGUCGGUUUAGUAAGUCAGUGGUGAAAGCCCAUCGCUCAACGGUGGAACGGCCAUUGAUACUGCUAGACUUGAAUUAUUAGGAAGUAACUAGAAUAUGUAGUGUAGCGGUGAAAUGCUUAGAGAUUACAU